This 551-nucleotide ribosomal RNA is filed under the name Ostichthys japonicus (Japanese soldierfish). RNAcentral's name for it is "partial 16S ribosomal RNA". It matches the Rfam family "Bacterial large subunit ribosomal RNA", at positions 590 to 1352 of the family's 2925-position model. The record is from RNAcentral. RNAcentral also lists the same sequence under 1 other name. Lineage: Eukaryota; Metazoa; Chordata; Actinopteri; Holocentriformes; Holocentridae.
GACAUGCCCUCGUACCUUUUGCAUCAUGAUUUAGCAAGAACAAUUAGACAAAAAGCUUUUAAGUCUAACUUCCCGAAACCAAACGAGCUACUUCGGAGCAGCAUAUUAGAGCCAACCCACCUCUGUGGCAAAAGAGAGGGAAGACUCCCAAGUAGCGGUGACAAGCCUACCGAGUUUGGUGAUAGCUGGUUGUCCAAGAAAAGAACUUAAAUUCUGCGUUAAUUAUUCAACUCGAUAACAAAAAUAUUUUUUAACAAAACCAGUUGUAAAAAUUAAUAGUUAUUCAAAAAAGGUACAGCUUUUUUGAAUCAAGAAACAACUUUAUCAGGAGGGUAAUGAUUAUAAUUUUUAAAGGACUAUUCCUCAGUGGGCCCGAAAGCAGCCAUCUGUAAAGAAAGCGUCACAGCUCAAGUAUACACUACACCAACAAAUCCCUAUAUAAAACUCACAACCCCCUUAAACCCUAUUGGACUAUUUUAUCCAACUCAAUAUAAAAGAAAUUAUGCUAAAAUGAGUAAUAAGGGGCUAACCCCCUCCCAACACACCAGUGU